AAGUCGUAACAAGGUUUCCGUAGGUGAACCUGCGGAAGGAUCAUUAACACGUAUCCAACGUUAAACAACCCCGUGAACCUUCAGCCUGCUCUCGUAGCCCACGGUGAGAAGUUACAGUUACGAUCGAGCGGUAGAGUCAGUGGCAUGGCGUCCCCAAGCAGAAUCCAGAGAAUGAAAGGAUCACUGGCUGCGCAAGGAUAACGCCUCACGGUUGCUAGAGGUCGAUCACCGACCGGCAGACAUGUCACAGGGUCCCCAUGCCCCUUACCUCACCCCAUUACUAAUGACUAGCUUAGCGGUAACGCGCUGAGUAAAAAAAAACCGAACAACUGUUAACAAUGGAUAUCUUGGUUCUC
RNAcentral lists this unclassified non-coding RNA (356 nucleotides) under fungal sp. RNAcentral describes it as "partial internal transcribed spacer region". The stretch from base 1 to 46 matches the Rfam family "Eukaryotic small subunit ribosomal RNA", at positions 1786 to 1831 of the family's 1831-position model. Lineage: Eukaryota; Fungi. The record is from RNAcentral.